AGUGAACGCUGGCGGUAGGCCUAACACACGCAAGUCGAACGGCAGCACAGUAAGAGCUUGCUCUUACGGGUGGCGAGUGGCGGACGGGUGAGGAAUACAUCGGAAUCUACUUUUUCGUGGGGGAUAACGUAGGGAAACUUACGCUAAUACCGCAUACGACCUACGGGUGAAAGCAGGGGAUCUUCGGACCUUGCGCGAUUGAAUGAGCCGAUGUCGGAUUGGCUAGUUGGCGGGGUAAAGGCCCACCAAGGCGACGAUCCGUAGCUGGUCUGAGAGGAUGAUCAGCCACACUGGAACUGAGACACGGUCCAGACUCCUACGGGAGGCAGCAGUGGGGAAUAUUGGACAAUGGGCGCAAGCCUGAUCCAGCCAUACCGCGUGGGUGAAGAAGGCCUUCGGGUUGUAAAGCCCUUUUGUUGGGAAAGAAAAGCAGCAGGUUAAUACCCCGCUGUUCUGACGGUACCCAAAGAAUAAGCACCGGCUAACUUCGUG
Molecule: ribosomal RNA, 492 nt
Filed under: uncultured bacterium
Lineage: Bacteria
Description: partial 16S ribosomal RNA
Rfam family: Bacterial small subunit ribosomal RNA
Source: RNAcentral